CUAGACGAGUUUGAUCAUGGCUCAGAACGAACGCUGGCGGCAUGCCUAACACAUGCAAGUCGAACGAACCCUUCGGGGUUAGUGGCGCACGGGUGCGUAACGCGUGGGGAUCUGCCCAAAGGUUCGGAAUAACUCAGAGAAAUUUGAGCUAAUACCGGAUAAUGUCUUCGGACCAAAGAUUUAUUGCCUUUGGAUGAACCCGCGUAGGAUUAGCUUGUUGGUGGGGUAAAGGCCUACCAAGGCGACGAUCCUUAGCUGGUCUGAGAGGAUGAUCAGCCACACUGGGACUGAGAUACGGGCCAGACUCCUACGGGAGGCAGCAGUGAGGAAUAUUGCGCAAUGGGCGAAAGCCUGACGCAGCGACGCCGCGUGGGGGAUGAAGGUUUUCGGAUUGUAAACCCCUUUCAUGAGGAAAGAUAAAGUGGGUAACCACUUAGACGGUACCUCAAGAAGAAGCCACGGCUAACUUCGUG
Molecule: ribosomal RNA, 473 nt
Filed under: uncultured bacterium
Lineage: Bacteria
Description: bacterial SSU rRNA
Rfam family: Bacterial small subunit ribosomal RNA
Source: RNAcentral